Brienomyrus brachyistius is the source of this 612-nucleotide long non-coding RNA. RefSeq lists it as uncharacterized. Lineage: Eukaryota; Metazoa; Chordata; Actinopteri; Osteoglossiformes; Mormyridae. The transcript is spliced from 3 exons. The record is from RefSeq and is a predicted model, not a curated record.
AGCCAGAGUGGAGGACAGCAGCACUGUCAUCAGGAGGAAGACGGCAGAGAUCUGAUGGGACUUCAUGAUUCCACUGGAUGUUUCUGAAGAUCAGCGUCGCUCCUACAGCUAAACUGAGGCCAGCAGAGUCGAACCACGACCUUUUAGAGGGGUUGUGUGUCUGCAGGUGGCAGGGGUGGGGUGGAAGAAAAAUAAAAGAAAAAACAUUUAGCACUUAAUGCACCUAAAAUAGUCUGACCACAGACAAGACCAGGGUGAAUUUGCUGGGACUGACAUCACAUGCAUCCUGAACGUGUCCUAUACGAUACAGCAGAUAUUAACAUUAGCUGCAGUGCAUGUUUGUUAUUGGCUGUUUUACAAACCACACAGAGCCACCAGGCUGAGUCUGUGGUAACUACCCUUCUAACUAAGGCUUUGGAAGAUAAAUGGAUGUAGGCCUACAUAUGGUAUAUGUAAGAAAAGCAAUGGCCCCCUCUCCUGGUAAGUCCUGGUAUAAACCUGCAAGCUGUUGGUCAGAUUAUUUUUUUUGCAUGCGAAAGAUUGUGCUCAGCAUUUUACAUACACUCUGGGGUCAUUAGAAAAGGAAUAUGUGCCAUAAAUGUAUUGUCUAUC